AUACGUAGGGUGCGAGCGUUAAUCGGAAUUACUGGGCGUAAAGCGUGCGCAGGCGGUUUUGUAAGACAGGCGUGAAAUCCCCGAGCUCAACUUGGGAAUGGCGCUUGUGACUGCAAGGCUAGAGUAUGUCAGAGGGGGGUAGAAUUCCACGUGUAGCAGUGAAAUGCGUAGAGAUGUGGAGGAAUACCGAUGGCGAAGGCAGCCCCCUGGGACGUCACUGACGCUCAUGCACGAAAGCGUGGGGAGCAAACAGGAUUAGAUACCCUGGUAGUCCACGCCCUAAACGAUGUCAACUAGUUGUUGGGGAUUCAUUUCUUCAGUAACGUAGCUAACGCGUGAAGUUGACCGCCUGGGGAGUACGGUCGCAAGAUUAAA
This 375-nucleotide ribosomal RNA is filed under the name uncultured bacterium. RNAcentral describes it as "bacterial SSU rRNA". It matches the Rfam family "Bacterial small subunit ribosomal RNA", at positions 523 to 898 of the family's 1533-position model. The record is from RNAcentral.